RNAcentral lists this long non-coding RNA (2290 nucleotides) under Citrus sinensis (sweet orange). Its description in RNAcentral is "long non-coding RNA (CSIN_LNC001300)". The record is from RNAcentral. Lineage: Eukaryota; Viridiplantae; Streptophyta; Magnoliopsida; Sapindales; Rutaceae.
AUCUGCAAGAUAAUAUGGUUAUAGUGAGAAACACAGAAUACAAAGACACUUGGCAAAAGGAAGUCAACCAGAUUCCAUGCACAAAAUGAAACUAAAAACGACAAGGAUUAGAAAUUUUUCUUACUGGAGUAAUGAACCUUGCCCUUCUCUGUAGUAGUCUUCUGGUGAAGUGAGUGCUAGAUCUGCAAAGCAAGAGAAAUCUGCAUCUGGAGUAUACAAAAGGUUAUCUAACCCCAGAGCUUGCCUCAAUUGCCUACAUGUUCAAAACAAGGAUCUGUUAAAAAAUGGAAAUUUCUUCAAUGCCUUAGUAAAGGGAAGUGAAGUGAAAGCAUUUUAAUUAUUUAUGUUAUUUUUGAAUAAUGGAUAAGGUAUCUUAUGGUGUUAAUAUAAGUAUGUAAUUACAUUUAACUUACUUAUUUAUUAGUAAUGUCAUAUUUAUAAAUUUUUUAAUUAAAUAAAUAUUUUUUUAAAGAUUGGCGAAUUUUUACGGAUUUACAAAAGUAAAUCCAUAUCCAAUCCACCGCUUGUGGAUUUUUAAAUUUUUAAUCCAAUUCAAUCCACCAAUCCACGGAUAAGAUUUUUACGAACCAAAUUUUUACGGAUCGGACGAAUUGAGCUGAUCGAACCGGAUUCUGAACACCCCUACUAUUGGGUUUCACUUUGUUUUACAUGAAUUUGGGAAAAAUACACGGAUAGACAAGGGAACAGUCAUUGUUAAGCUGUGAAGCUUGUGGAAGAUACCAUUGCCUAUUUGCAGCUUAAACUCCUGGAGCUUUGCUCAUGCUUUCUCUUUCCCACUUUCUCAUGGAACAGAUGUAUACAUCAUGAAAUGAAAACAACAGCACAAAUUGCUGUCUCGUAAGAGAAACAGUCAUACAUAGUAGGUUAGGCCUCAUGUCCAUUAACUUACUAAUGAAUUUUAUGAAAAUUGGCUAUCUCAUUGAAAUUACAUAGGUAUUGGAAACCCUUACUCCAGCUGCAUCAUCUCAUCAGUGAAAGCUGGAUUUUCCAUUUGUUCUUGAGAUUCAUAUUAAGGCAGCAAAUUGCUCAUCCCAUACUAUCUAUGUAAUCCUGUAAAAGGGAAGGGCGUUUAGAUGUGGAAAAACCUUACUCCUGCCGCUGCACCUCAAACAGAUUGCGAUCACACAAGACUUAGUUCAUCAUUAGUAGUAGUUGGAGCUUCCAUUUGUUCUUGAGAUUCAAAGGCAGCAAGCUGCUUCCUCAGUGCUACUAAUUCUUCCCCGGCAUUGCAUAUGUAGGCUGAGGCUUGUCUACCAGACAAAGUUGCUCCUUCCAUACUAUCUAUGUAAUCCUGUGAGAGUGAAACCAUUUAGGAGACAUAUCUCUUUUUUUUCCCAAUAUUUGGGAUGAAACAAUGAUAUACAGUUACCUGUUUUGUAUACGAGCCAGCAAGGAAGAAGUUCUUCACAGGUGUCUUUUGAUCAGGUCUGAAGGGGUCUUUACCAGGUCCCUCACGGUACAAAGAUUGCCCGAUUUUGACAACAGAUGACCAAAUAACUUCUAAACCUUGGGAUGAUGGAAAUAGAGCUAAAACCUAAUAAAAUGAACCAUGAAUGGAUAAUUUGUACUGAUGUAUGUUAUCCAGAAAGUUGCAUGACCUUUUGUGGUACUCAGGUCACUAAAAAAAACGUGAGAUAAACAUCUAGGAUAAGAAAACCAAAAAUAGUAACCUAAUAUGUAUUAUAUGAAUUGAAGGUGUCACUGAACGCUACCAACCUGCUUUGCCACUCUCCUUAUGAUUUCAUCAUUUGGUAAGGGCAUGUAAGGAUCGCCAGGCGUCAAAACACAUCUGCAAGAUAAUAUGGUUAUAGUGAGAAACACAGAAUACAAAGACACUUGGCAAAAGGAAGUCAACCAGAUUCCAUGCACAAAAUGAAACUAAAAACGACAAGGAUUAGAAAUUUUUCUUACUGGAGUAAUGAACCUUGCCCUUCUCUGUAGUAGUCUUCUGGUGAAGUGAGUGCUAGAUCUGCAAAGCAAGAGAAAUCUGCAUCUGGAGUAUACAAAAGGUUAUCUAACCCCAGAGCUUGCCUCAAUUGCCUACAUGUUCAAAACAAGGAUCUGUUAAAAAAUGGAAAUUUCUUCAAUGCCUUAGUAAAGGGAAGUGAAGUGAAAGCUGAUUUCUUAGGCCUUUAAAGAGCAUCUUGUGUUUGAAUUCCUGUAACCUCACAAAAGAUUAGAGCAUCACCUUGACCGUUCUAGGUCUUGCAACUCAGUAACCCAACCAUUGUAUCUAAGCUGCACUGUGACCACAGGAACUCCAACUAGC